This 954-nucleotide ribosomal RNA is filed under the name Staphylococcus aureus. RNAcentral describes it as "bacterial SSU rRNA". It matches the Rfam family "Bacterial small subunit ribosomal RNA", at positions 1 to 935 of the family's 1533-position model. Lineage: Bacteria; Bacillati; Bacillota; Bacilli; Caryophanales; Staphylococcaceae. The record is from RNAcentral.
UUUUAUGGAGAGUUUGAUCCUGGCUCAGGAUGAACGCUGGCGGCGUGCCUAAUACAUGCAAGUCGAGCGAACGGACGAGAAGCUUGCUUCUCUGAUGUUAGCGGCGGACGGGUGAGUAACACGUGGAUAACCUACCUAUAAGACUGGGAUAACUUCGGGAAACCGGAGCUAAUACCGGAUAAUAUUUUGAACCGCAUGGUUCAAAAGUGAAAGACGGUCUUGCUGUCACUUAUAGAUGGAUCCGCGCUGCAUUAGCUAGUUGGUAAGGUAACGGCUUACCAAGGCAACGAUGCAUAGCCGACCUGAGAGGGUGAUCGGCCACACUGGAACUGAGACACGGUCCAGACUCCUACGGGAGGCAGCAGUAGGGAAUCUUCCGCAAUGGGCGAAAGCCUGACGGAGCAACGCCGCGUGAGUGAUGAAGGUCUUCGGAUCGUAAAACUCUGUUAUUAGGGAAGAACAUAUGUGUAAGUAACUGUGCACAUCUUGACGGUACCUAAUCAGAAAGUCACGGCUAACUACGUGCCAGCAGCCGCGGUAAUACGUAGGUGGCAAGCGUUAUCCGGAAUUAUUGGGCGUAAAGCGCGCGUAGGCGGUUUUUUAAGUCUGAUGUGAAAGCCCACGGCUCAACCGUGGAGGGUCAUUGGAAACUGGAAAACUUGAGUGCAGAAGAGGAAAGUGGAAUUCCAUGUGUAGCGGUGAAAUGCGCAGAGAUAUGGAGGAACACCAGUGGCGAAGGCGACUUUCUGGUCUGUAACUGACGCUGAUGUGCGAAAGCGUGGGGAUCAAACAGGAUUAGAUACCCUGGUAGUCCACGCCGUAAACGAUGAGUGCUAAGUGUUAGGGGGUUUCCGCCCCUUAGUGCUGCAGCUAACGCAUUAAGCACUCCGCCUGGGGAGUACGACCGCAAGGUUGAAACUCAAAGGAAUUGACGGGGACCCGCACAAGCGGUGG